UUCUCUGUGUCCAGAAGAAACCAGUCCAGUCCCAGUUUCCUGCCAGACAACCAACAUUAAUACCCUUUUGUAUAAUAAAUAUUUUAAACCAGUUUUUGUGUUCGGCAAUUUAUCAGAGUUCAAACCAAGGGUCUUAACACAGACAACCAGAUUUUGUGAACAGUUUUUCUGGACAGCUUGAAAAAUAUCUUUGUCUAACCCUUAUGUAAUUUAUAUUGCUUUUUUAUUGGCAUUUAGAUCAAAUAUGGAGAGAAAAUGGGAGGAGAUCUUUAACCUUCUUUCUGAAGGUUCCUACCCAUCAAAAUUUACAAGGGGGCAAAGUCUCAGGAAGUUUGCCUCAAAAUUUAGCAUUCGUGCUGGGAACCUGUUCUUUGGAGCCUUGCCUCAAAGGAGGGCCAUAAAAUCGAGAGAAGGCAUGGAACCUUUUCAAGGAAUUUCAUGCUUCACCCAUGGGAGGACACACUGGAAUUGUGAAAACUCGCAACUCCAUGUGUUCCAGAUUUUAUUGGCCUGGCAUGACAGCAGACAUAGAAAAAUGGGUGUCUGAAUGUGACAAGUGCCAAAGGGUUGGACCACCACUGAGAAUAGAGAAGACAUUGGAUUGCAUCGAGGUGUCACGUGUGUGGGAAUUGGUCAGAAUCGACCUGACAGGCCUGCUUCCCCAGACAUCUUCUGGCUUCCAGUACCUAUUGACAGCCACUGACUACUUCUCCAAGUGGGUGUAAGCUUUCCCUCUAGAAACCAAGUCUGCAGAGGAAGUAGCCAAAAACUUGUGCUCCAUGAUUUAUCGGCACGGUUGUCCUGAACGCAUCCUUUCAGACCAAGGAUGAGAGUUUGUGAAUCAAAUCAACAGCAGACUCUGUGAACUUCUUUCAAUUGAGAGUAGUGUCACAGCUGCAUAUCAUCCUCAGACAAACGGGUUGGAUGAAAAAACCAAUGACAACAUUAAACGGGCRCUCAGGAAACUUGUUAAUGACAGGCAGGAUGAUUGGGAUCGGUUUCUAGAGCCCACUUUGUUUUCGCUGAGGUCAAAAGUGCACACCACAACCAAACACUCACCAUUUCUCCUUAUGAAUG
This is a long non-coding RNA of Austrofundulus limnaeus, 1077 nucleotides long. RefSeq lists it as uncharacterized. The transcript is spliced from 6 exons. NCBI's taxonomy places the organism in Eukaryota, Metazoa, Chordata, Actinopteri, Cyprinodontiformes, Rivulidae. The record is from RefSeq and is a predicted model, not a curated record.